ACUGUGUCCAGAACAUACUUAUAACCUGUGUAUACCUGCCCUUCGUACCUACAAUGAUGUUUACGCCUCUUGGUCUUCACACCUGGCCAAGGCAUGUAAUUGUUUCACCUGAGAUUGUGAAAAAAAAAUCCCGUCCACCCUCCUCGACAAAUAUGAAGGAAAAAAAAAAAUAAGGCGAGUAAAACCAGCAUUCUGUUGGGAAAUAUAAGAGAUCUUUUAUUUGUACAAACAAGUAUAAAAUUACAGUUACACGUCAUGUAUUUGUGUGGGAUGCCGGUAAACCAACCAUACGGUAGAGACAAACUGUACCAUCAACUCACCAGGAAAAAAAGAACACGCAAGUAUUACACAGUGUAAACUAUAAUAUAACUGAUACAAGCAAUAUACACUUACACCCCCCCAAAAAAAAUAAGUAGAAGAAAAUAAACAAAGAAAAACAAGAGGGCGGUAGUAGUAAACAUAAUAGGGAUCACUAAAAUAAAUCUGUAUAUAUAAGGUAAAUAAGGUAAAUAAAUCAGUAUCUAAGGGAAUAUACAUCCAUUAGAAGACUCCCCCAAAAACAUCAACAGAAAAAAAACAAAAAAACAGUCAAACUCAUCUUAUAAAAAUAGUUACCCCGAAAGUAAGAUAUUUAUAUAUUUAGAUAUUUUUUGUUAUUUAUUUAGACUAGUAUAUGUUUGGCACCCAUGAUAGGCUGUGUUGAGUAUGGGGGAGGGGGGGAGGGGGGGGUUGUAUUUUUGUGUUUUAGGUAAAUAUGUGUUAUACCUGUGUGUGUGUGUGUGUGUGUGUGUGUGAGAGAGAGAGAGAGAGAGAGAGAGAGAGAGAGAGAGAGAGAGAGAGAGGAGGGGGAGGGGGAGGAAUAUUUCACUGGUAUUGUGUUUUAUUGUUGGAGGGAAGGGAAGGGGAAAUGGAGGGAUGGAGGGAGGGAGUGAAGCUAAGUGGUAUGAGGAAAGGUUGGAAGGGUAGGGAGAGGAAGAGAAGGGAUGGCAAGGUAAUGUAGGGUAAGGUAAGGUAAGGUAAGGCUUGGUGAGAUGAGGUUAUUAGGUUAGGGAAGGGAAUGGUAGGGAAGGGACGCUUAGUGAUGGGAAGGGUAAGAGAGAGGGAAAGCUUCACAGGUUAGGUAUGGUAAGGGAAAGGAAGGGAUAUGGAAGAUGAAGUUAGAUGAAGUAGGGUAAGGAUAGGUUUGGUUAGGUCAAGUUUUGUUUCGUUAGAUUAGGUAAGGUAAGGAUAGGGUAGGUUUGCUAUAUUCCGUAAGGUUAGGUAAGGUAAGGUAAGGAUAGGUUAGGUUAGGUCUGUUACAUUUCGUUAGGUUAGGUGAGGUAAGGAUAGGUUAGGUUAGGUCUGUUAUAUCUCGUUAGGUUAGGUAAGGUUAGGUAAGGUAAGGAUAGGUUAGGUUAGGUCUGUCAUAUCUCGUUAGGUUAGGUAAGGUUAGGUAAGGUAAGGCAAUCAGGUAAGGUAAGGUGUGGGUUGUAAUUUCAGGUGUCAUAAGCCUUUGGUGUUACUACAUCGAGAAAUACUGAUAAUGAUCUACAAGUCCACCGAUAAAUCCUUCAAUAAACGUCUACGGAGGGUCGGGACUGUAUGUGUGUGUCGUGAGGGUAAAAAUGAGGGAAUGGAAGGGAAAACGGGAAUUAAUGGGGCUGGGAAUUCAAGGAAGGAGGAACAACACGCAGGCAAGAGUACAUUCGCCACUUUUUUUCCAUUGUCACACCUCAGUCCAACUCACGUGUCGAAAGUGACCCAAAGAAAACCACACGAAACAAUGAUGUGAAGAGUGAUAGGAAAGAAACGUAACAUUGCACAGCCGAGAAGCAGAUACCCAGGAAUUUAUUGUUUUCUGUCAUUCACCUGUUUACAUUUACCUGCACUUUCACCUUUUCUAUCUACCUGCAAUUAGUAUCAGUAGGUCAGUUCAGGUAAUGGUAGAUCAGGUCAAGUCCUCAUGAUACCAGGUUGUAUAAAUAUGUUUCAAUCAAUCACCUGUAUUUGCCGUGUUUCAUCACCUUUUUUUUUUGUUAAUCUGCAUUUGUAUCACCAGAUCAGGCAAGUUCAGGUCAGGUCAGGUUCUCUUGGCAUUAGGUUUUAAUAGUUUUUAUUUUUGUCUUUUUCACUUGUAUAUUUAGCCUGUACUCACCAUUUAAUUUAACUUGAAUCAUCUGUCACCUUGUUAGUUCAGGCAUGGUCAGGUCCCAUUAGGUCAUUACGAUAUUAUAUUUUUGGUUACUUUACUCUGUUCAAAUAAAGUUGGCAAAUAAAACCCGCCCACGCCAGUCUAGCAACCACCAAUCAAAUUCAACCUUUCCCAGCUUCUACCAAUCAGCCGUAACGAAUUGGAGACAGGGCGUGGCUUGCUUGUGGACUGACCAAUGAUUUGCACUCUAAUACGAAAGGGGGAGGAGCUUACGUGCCAAGGUUAUUUAAUCAGAGUAUGGCAUUACAAUUAGUGUUUACCUUGUUAUGAAUUCCAAAUAUUGUACAUGUGUGUGUGUGUGUGUGUGUGUGUGUGUGUGUGUGUGUGUGUGUGUGUGUGUGUGUGUGUGUGUGUGUGUGUGUGU
This is a long non-coding RNA of Eriocheir sinensis (Chinese mitten crab), 2555 nucleotides long. RefSeq lists it as uncharacterized. The record is from RefSeq and is a predicted model, not a curated record. Lineage: Eukaryota; Metazoa; Arthropoda; Malacostraca; Decapoda; Varunidae. The transcript has 2 exons.